GGUUGACCUCGGAUCAGGUAGGAAUACCCGCUGAACUUAAGCAUAUCAAUAAGCGGAGGAAAAGAAACCAACAGGGAUUGCCCUAGUAACGGCGAGUGAAGCGGCAACAGCUCAAAUUUGAAAUCUGGCCCUCGGGUCCGAGUUGUAAUUUGUAGAGGAUGCUUUUGGUGCGGUACCUUCCGAGUUCCCUGGAACGGGACGCCAUAGAGGGUGAGAGCCCCGUCUGGUCGGAUACCAAUCCUCUGUAAAGCUCCUUCGACGAGUCGAGUAGUUUGGGAAUGCUGCUCUAAAUGGGAGGUAUAUGUCUUCUAAAGCUAAAUAUUGGCCAGAGACCGAUAGCGCACAAGUAGAGUGAUCGAAAGAUGAAAAGCACUUUGAAAAGAGGGUUAAACAGUACGUGAAAUUGUUGAAAGGGAAGCGCUUGUGACCAGACUUGGGCCCGGUUAAUCAUCCACCGUUCUCGGUGGUGCACUUGGCCGGCCCAGGCCAGCAUCAGUUCGGCGUGGGGGAUAAAGACUUUGGGAAUGUGGCUCCCUCCGGGGAGUGUUAUAGCCCAUUGUGUAAUACCCUGUGCUGGACUGAGGUUCGCGCAUUCGCAAGGAUGCUGGCGUAAUGGUCAUCAGCGACCCGUCUU
RNAcentral lists this ribosomal RNA (634 nucleotides) under Scolecofusariella peltigerae. Its description in RNAcentral is "eukaryotic LSU rRNA". It matches the Rfam family "Eukaryotic large subunit ribosomal RNA", at positions 1 to 655 of the family's 3401-position model. The record is from RNAcentral. Lineage: Eukaryota; Fungi; Ascomycota; Sordariomycetes; Hypocreales; Nectriaceae.